UACGUAGGGCGCGAGCGUUGUCCGGAAUUAUUGGGCGUAAAGAGCUCGUAGGCGGCCUGUUGCGUCCGCUGUGAAAUCCCGGGGCUCAACCCCGGGCUUGCAGUGGAUACGGGCUGGCUAGAGGCAGGCAGGGGAGAACGGAAUUCCCGGUGUAGCGGUGAAAUGCGCAGAUAUCGGGAGGAACACCGGUGGCGAAGGCGGUUCUCUGGGCCUGUACUGACGCUGAGGAGCGAAAGCGUGGGGAGCGAACAGG
Molecule: ribosomal RNA, 253 nt
Filed under: uncultured bacterium
Lineage: Bacteria
Description: partial 16S ribosomal RNA
Rfam family: Bacterial small subunit ribosomal RNA
Source: RNAcentral